RNA transcript from Papaver somniferum (opium poppy), 3453 nucleotides. RefSeq lists it as uncharacterized. Lineage: Eukaryota; Viridiplantae; Streptophyta; Magnoliopsida; Ranunculales; Papaveraceae. The record is from RefSeq and is a predicted model, not a curated record. The transcript is spliced from 5 exons.
UACCGAGUCCCACAUGAGAAAUCUGAAUAACGGUCCACGGGGACUCGAGUUUUGUCAAAAUUAGGAUGUAGGACAUCAUCUUCAUCUGCAAUCUCUCUACUCGUCAUAGUACACCCUGAUCCUUUUUCUUUCUCUCUUCAAUCGCUUGAUCUAAUGAAGAAAAACAAAGAAACUAUUCAGUAAAUGAGAAAUAGAUCUUCAAAAAAAAGAAAAUCCAAUGCAAGAAGUUACACUCAAAGCAACUAGUAAACCUGUUAAAUAUGUUUGCAAGAGGAAACGUGAAAACUUAGGGAAUGAAAAUGAAAUUUCUGCCUGAAGGAGAAGUAGGGAAAGAAACUGUGAACCCUAUUGAAAGACCGGUGCUAGAAAAACUGACACCCGAUUUAUCUGCUCACAGGAGGAAAAUAGAUGUAUUUCUAGCAGAUUCUGGUGUUCCUUUUGUCCCAGCUGAACCUCCUGUAGAUUGGGAUACAAUCUCUAUUGAGGUACAGGACACUGUACCUAACAAUAAGCGACUCCGUCAUGACGCAAAUUCUGGUAAUCUGAGCACAUUCCAAGUAUCUCUAUGUUUAUGUAUAAUCAUUUUGUUCGUUUAUAAUGGUCCAGCUGCGGAAUUCGUUGGUCGUAUUGGGUUUAGGAGUCUGAUUAUAUAUCUGUUUUAGUUACACAGUUAACAUGUAUCUGGUGUCAUAGGUGGGGGUUUAGGAAUCAAACUAUUCAUAUGUUGUGGUUGUGAAUCAAAUUAAUAUGUGCUAGCUCAUGUGAAUAUUUCUAAUAUGGGCAUUGUACAUUUCUUAAAGCUAAUAUUUUCAACAUUGUGGAAUGCACUUAUUAAUUUGAUAUCCAAUUGUAAUUUGUGACAGUAAAUAGUAAAAUGAUUCUACAGUCAGUUUGUUAUUUAUUGUUAUAGAUAGUGAUCAUGAUAACGGGGGUCUCCAACAACCAUUUCUUCGGAAUAAUCAGAUGAAUGAAGGUGAUGAUUCCUCGCAAGAUGAUAACAAGGAGAAAGGAGCAGUCAGGAGCGAACAUAUGGAGGCCUCUAUGGUCAAAAAUAUGGAUACACGUGGAAAAAAGUUGAUUUGACACGGUGCUUUGUGAGCGAUCAGGUUUUUGACUCACGUGAUGCCCUUAUCGAGUGGUGUCAGGAGGUUGGAAGAAAAAAUAUGUCUGUGGUUGUGAUAUCCAAGUCAAGAAAACCCGUUCAAGGAAGGGUUGCAAGGUUGGAAUUAGGGUGUGAAAGAGGUGGUGUGUACCGAAACCAUAAGAAGAAAACAGAUACACCAACACUGAAAGACCUUACAAAAAAGAGAGAAUCAGGGACGAGAAAAUGUGGAUGUCCCUUUACACUAAAAGGAGUGUGGAUGGCAGGUGAUAAAUGGAAGGUUAGGGUGCAUUGUGGAUCACACAAUCAUGAGCUACCAGAGAAGCUUGUUGGCCACUCCUAUGUAGCUAGGUUAAAGAAGAAGGAAAAACAAAUAUUAGUUGAUCUGACAAAAAGUGGUGCUCGACCUCGACAAGUGCUUAGCACACUCAAACAGAGAAGCAAAAAGAACAUGUCAAUGAGGGAAAUUUACAAUGCAAGGGCAACAUUAAAACUUAUGGAGAUUGAAGGUAAGUCAGCAAUGCAACAAAUACUUGGAUUGCUGUCGAAACACCAUUAUGUGGAAUGUCAUAGAAGAGAUAAAGAGACAGAUGCGCUGAAAGAUAUCUUUUGGGCCCAUCCAGAAUCUUUACAACUGGCCUUGGGUUCCCAUUCGGUCCUCAUGGUUGAUUGCACUUACAAGACCAACCGAUUUGGUUCACUUUUGCUUCGGGUUGUUGGUGUUACUUCUACAGGAAAAUUGUUCACUGUCGCAUUUAUUUUCCUGGAGGCGGAGACAGAAGAUCACUAUACUUGGGCUUUGACUCGUUUAAAGAGACUAUUUUCGCCCAAUACGUUACCAUCUAUAUUUGUAACAGAUGGAGAGAUCGCGUUAGUGAAUGCAAUAAGCACAGUCUUUCCACAAGCAGAGUGUCUGCUUUGCUCAUCGCACGGCUUAAAGAAUGUUUCAAAGAAUUGCAAGCAAUUCUUUGAGUCCGAUGACGAAUUUGAAAUAUUUAUGAAAGAGUGGACAAAUUUAACACAAGUAAGGACCAAAGACGAGUACGCCGAGGCUUUUUCUGACUUUGUAUUGACAUGGACAAGCUACCUUGGAUGCAUCCAGUAUUUACGUGAUACUUGGCUACGAUAUAAAGAGCGUUUUGUUCUAGCAUGGACAAAGUUCAUAAAGCAUUUUGGAAACACGGUAAUAAAUAGAGUUGGCAGUUAUCAUGCUAAAUUGAAGAGUCAGCUAGGGUCGUCAGCAAGUACCUUCUCGACUUGUUGGACGACAAUGCAUCAGAUGAUAUGCAAUGAGCUAAUGGACAUUAAAGCCUCAUUCGAGAAGAGCCUGAUCUCCGUUCCACAUGAAUAUCUGCUUCCUGCUUUUAAGGAAUUGGGGGGUUAUGUUUCUCACAGGGCAAUGUAACUUUUACUGUUGGAGCAUAAUCGAUCUGAAGAAGUUGGCCUUGAUGUAGGAGUUUGUGGGUGUGUUCUUCGCCUCUCUUAUGGGCUCCCUUGUGCCCACGAGAUAGUACAGUAUUGUCGUAAUGGUACUGGGAUACCUCUUUCUGAGAUCGACCCACAGUGGAAACUACUUUCAGCGAUACCAGUGCCAGAAGAGCAUAGUGAGUUCGAUUACCUGCCACAGCUGAUAUUAGCGAGGGAGAGGUGGGAAAAAGCAUCCAAAUCUGAGCGUGAAUUCAUGCAGAAGAAGUUAUCGGAAAUUGGGUGCUUCUAGAGUCAUCUGUUUGUGUCAAAUUUUGAAUGAGCUGGUGAGCUCUUUCUUUGGGAACUGAUAUGUCAGGUAGUUCAACUGCUUGAGUUGGUUUUAUCAGAAGAUGUUAGAGAUUCUGGUGAAGGACCAGAUCCUGUAGUUUACAUCUUGACAACUCAGAUGAACAAAACCAAGCUAAAUGAAAUGAUAUGUCAGGUAGUUCAACUGCUUGAGUUGGUUUUAUCAGAAGAUGUUAGAGAUUCUGGUGAAGGACCAGAUCCUGUAGUUUACAUCUUGACAACUCAGAUGAACAAAACCAAGCUAAAUGAAAUGAUUCGGAUACAUGUUCGGGCAGCAAAACUGUUAGUUUAUCUGAUAAUAUUCGACUUGGUCCCUCUUUCAGAAUGUCUUGCCUUGGAUUAACUAACAGCACAUCAUUCUGUUUUUCUCUGUGCAAUGUAUCUAUUUAAACAAAUGAAUGGCACCUCGGCUCUCAGUAGAAAAGUACAUGUAUAGAUAGUGUUUGGAGAACUGGUCUGUUUUUUUUUGCACCCCUCGAGUGAUUGUUGUUGAGUUCUCCUUUCUUGUUAAUUGAUUGUGUAUGUGAAGUCUCGACGAAUUAACUAAUUACAACGGUAUACACCGUGCAUGCAUCCUA